GACAGAGGGUGCAAGCGUUGUUCGGAAUUAUUGGGCGUAAAGGGCGCGUAGGUGGCCUGGUAAGUCGGAUGUGAAAGCCCAGGGCUUAACCCUGGAAGUGCAUCUGAUACUGCUUGGCUUGAGUCUCGGAGAGGGUCGUGGAAUUCCCAGUGUAGAGGUGAAAUUCGUAGAUAUUGGGAGGAACACCAGUGGCGAAGGCGGCGACCUGGACGAAGACUGACACUGAGGCGCGAAAGCCAGGGGAGCAAACGGG
RNAcentral lists this ribosomal RNA (253 nucleotides) under uncultured bacterium. RNAcentral's name for it is "partial 16S ribosomal RNA". It matches the Rfam family "Bacterial small subunit ribosomal RNA", at positions 524 to 776 of the family's 1533-position model. The record is from RNAcentral.